This 458-nucleotide ribosomal RNA is filed under the name uncultured bacterium. Its description in RNAcentral is "partial 16S ribosomal RNA". It matches the Rfam family "Bacterial small subunit ribosomal RNA", at positions 338 to 795 of the family's 1533-position model. The record is from RNAcentral.
CCUACGGGUGGCAGCAGUGAGGAAUAGUGGGCAAUGGGGGAAACCCUGAUGCAGCGACGCCGCGUGAGUGAAGAAGUAAUGCGGUACGUAAAGCUCGAUCAGCAGGGAAGAAACACUGACCUUACGGUCAGCAGACGGUAUCGGAGGAAGAAGCCCCGGCUAACUACGUGCCAGCAGCCGCGGUAAUACGUAGGGGGCAAGCGUUCUCCGGAUUUAAUGGGUGGAAAGGGAGCGUAGACGGUGCGCCAAGUCUGGAGUGAAAUGCCGCAGCUUAACGGCGGAACUGCUUUGGAAACUGGCGAACUAGAGUGCGGGCGUGGUAAGCGGACUUCCUCGUGUAGCGGUGAAAUGCGUAGCUAUUAGGAGGCACCCCGGUGGCGAAGGCGGCUUACUGGACCGUAACUGACGUUGAGGCUCGAAAGCGUGGGGAGCAAACAGGCUUAGCUACCCUUGUAGUC